GCCUCAGCCUCCUGAGUAGCUGGAAUUACAGACAUGGAGUGUUCUUCAUUUUUAACCAUCAGUGUCUAGGUGUACAUGAAACUCCUUCGGAUUUUGUUUUCACCCCUUCUCACCCAACCUUCUUUUUACAACUGCUCUCAAUUAUGAGCAGCACUUUACAUUUUUUAAAGUACACAUGACUUAACAUAAGUCAUCAGAGAAAAAACAUUAGGCCUUAUGUUAAAGAACUUUUUCACAUAUCUUAUCAUUUUAUAAGAUUUAAAGCUUUAUGAAGACAUGGAACUGUUUCUUGUGUAGCACUUUACACAUAGGCAGUACUCAUUAUUUAUUAAGUGUUAAAGGAGUGAAAGCCCUCUUGACACUAUUCUAUAGUUGUGUUAUCUGUAUGUUUUUUUCUGGGCCACAGAAAAUUAAAUUGAGUAAACAAAGCAUUGGCACAAAGCUUGACAGAUAGGAGAAAGUUGAAAUCCUAACAGAGACAAAGAAAGAAGUAUAAAUGAAGAUAAUGAAACUCAAAAUAUACAUAAAAAAUAAAUAUAACACGUAAUAAAGAAUAUAAAAGACAAUGCAGUGUAGGGGUGAAUUAACAAAUUCUGUUUUUGAAAGACUGUAUGUACCUUCUACUCUGCGCAGUAGGCUACACAGACAUUGACUAUCACAGUAUUUUAAAGGAGCACAUUCUGUUUUAUGAAAGACUAUCUUGCUCCAUUAAGGACCUGGGACACUGUUCAACCAGUGUAAAACCAAAGCUUAUAAUCAUAGCACUUAGAAAACUAAAUUUAUCUAGAAAGCUAAAAUUAUGAUAAUGUUUUCUGUUUUGUAACUCCAAAUGUGGAAUGCUUUCUAAAUAUAUAUUACAUAUAUAUUUAAA
This is a long non-coding RNA of Sapajus apella (tufted capuchin), 871 nucleotides long. RefSeq lists it as uncharacterized. The transcript is spliced from 3 exons. The record is from RefSeq and is a predicted model, not a curated record. Lineage: Eukaryota; Metazoa; Chordata; Mammalia; Primates; Cebidae.